AGCGUAGAUGGUUUUUUAAGUCAGCUGUCAAAUGUAUGGGCUCAACCCUUAUUAUCAGUUGAAACUGUAAGACUUGAGUGCGGUGUGGGUACAUGGAAUUCGUGGUGUAGCGGUGAAAUGCAUAGAUAUCACGAAGAACUCCGAAAGCGUAGGCAUUGUACCAUAGCGCCACUGACAUUGAUGCUCGAAGGUGCGGGAAUCAAACA
Molecule: ribosomal RNA, 206 nt
Filed under: uncultured bacterium
Lineage: Bacteria
Description: partial 16S ribosomal RNA
Rfam family: Bacterial small subunit ribosomal RNA
Source: RNAcentral